Molecule: ribosomal RNA, 253 nt
Filed under: uncultured bacterium
Lineage: Bacteria
Description: partial 16S ribosomal RNA
Rfam family: Bacterial small subunit ribosomal RNA
Source: RNAcentral
UACGUAGGGGGCAAGCGUUGCCCGGAAUCAUUGGGCGUAAAGCGCGUGUAGGCGGCCCGGUAAGUCCGCUGUGAAAGUCGGGGGCUCAACCCUCGAAUGCCGGUGGAUACUGUCGGGCUAGAGUGCGGAAGAGGCGAGUGGAAUUCCUGGUGUAGCGGUGAAAUGCGCAGAUAUCAGGAGGAACACCAAUUGCGAAGGCAGCUCGCUGGGACGUGACUGACGCUGAGACGCGAAAGCGUGGGGAGCAAACAGG